Alligator mississippiensis (American alligator) is the source of this 7938-nucleotide long non-coding RNA. RefSeq lists it as uncharacterized. The record is from RefSeq and is a predicted model, not a curated record. NCBI's taxonomy places the organism in Eukaryota, Metazoa, Chordata, Crocodylia, Alligatoridae. The transcript is spliced from 5 exons.
CCCAGGAGCGCAGCGGAUACAGCUGGAGAAGGGCAGGUCCAGUCUUGCUGCUUAAGCUGGGAGACUCCAGUGACAUUUAACCUUCUCUGCAGCCUGAUCAGCAGGCAGCUGGAGGCAGAUGCUUAAUGAAUAGUCCAGGAUCAACUGCUGCCUGCUGAAGUGGUAGUUUGUGAAGCAAGGGAGCAUCCUGGGGAAGAAGCCCUGAGCUGGGAGAAGAAUUCCCCAGAUCAGGAUGAAGUUGGCCUUCCCUGCUCAGAGUGGUCGGCGGCGAUAGAAGGAACAAGCUCUGUGCUAAUGAAACCCUAUCUUGGUUUAAUCUAAAGAGGGAUUUCAAUUAUGAAAUAAUGCAUUUGUUCAGUGACCCGACAACAUGGAGCACAGUUGGACGGCUCACCCCGAGGGCCAUCCCCGGAGAGAUCAAAUCUGGUGACUUCACCACAAGCAACUACCAGAAGGUACUUGUCUCUGACUGUGGUACAGCGCUUGCUUUGAUGGGUAAUUGGGUAUACAGCAGGGAGCAGAAGCAUGGGGAAGAGAGACAGUGGUGCAUGCCGUUUUUCUUCACCAGGAAUUGCUUCAGAUUUUGACUGGUCACCACUUUGACUCCUGGAAACUCCUAUUUAUAUCAACAGAGCCACCGAAGUCAAUUGUGAGAGUUGUAAGAGUCGCUAAAAGAGAGGUAACAUGUGUCACUGGUUAGGGGGGGAGCCUGGACAUGGAAGACUUGGGAUCAAUUCCCUCCUCUGCCACAUUCUACCUUUGUGACCUUGGGCAAGUCACUUAAAGCCAGAUCCAAAAAGGUGCUUUGGUAGAAUUUAGGUGCCAAAGUUCAUGUUGAUGCCUGAGAGGCUCUGGGGGCACCUAUACACAUGUAGUGGGAUUGCUCCGACAUGCGGUAAUUACAGCACGUUAGAGCAGUCUCAGUUCAUCGAUACACGAGAUACUGGAUUAAUGGAUACGUGAGACGCUGAUACACAAGAUGCUGGAAUCUGCUGGAGUGCAGUAAUUACUGCAGACUCCAUCAUCUUGUGCAUCAGCAUCCCAAUGGUGAAAAAUGGUGAUGGGUUUGCUUUAGUUAAAGCUUGUUUGACAAGCUUCAGUUAAAGCACCCCCAUUACCAUUUUACACAAGAUACUCUUAGAGUCACUCUGAUUAAAGCACCCCUCCUGGACCAUGUGUAUAAAUGCCCGGGGUGCUUCAAUUUUUGCCAAUAAAGUUACCUUCUAAUUUGGGACAUCUAAUUUGGGAAAUCCUUCACCAUGAGUUAGGCACUGAGACACCCAGCUCACAAGAUGGUGGCAUCUCUGGGCCCAGGAUGUAGCAGAAGCUUAGGUGUCUACAUCCCCUGAGGGUCUGCUCUGGUAUAUGUGCUCAGAUUAUGCCUUACAAACCCUGACAGAGUGGAGUUGUGCACACAGCACAAGAGCCACAGCACCCUUCGUUCAAAGGCACCAGUAGCAGUGGUGGUGCUAGUGCCUACCUUGGAGACAAUAUGCUAGUGGUUAGAGUAUGUCCCAGCAAGUGAGAUGCCCAGGUUUCAUGCCAAACUCAGUCUGAGGGCAUAUAAACCCAUGCUUCUCCCCACCUCGCUGUAGGGCAGGGCUGAAAUGGGUGGAUUUCCCAUCCUUCCUGCUGAAACUGGGUCCACUUAGCACCCAGGCAGUACCUUCUGGUACUCGUUUGUGGUGAAGUCACUGGAUCUGAUCUUUCCAGUGAUGGCCCUCACUGUGCUCCAUGUUGUCGGGUCACUGAACAAAUGCAUAAUUUCAUAACUUGCGGUACAGAUGAUCUUAUUUAUUAGACCGACUAGAUGUUUACAAAAAGGUUUUUUUUGCAAACAUCUAGUUGGUCUAAUAAAAGAGACCACCUCUACCAUGAGUUCUGAUUCCUUUUUCCUCUAGACCAAUACGGCUGCAACCUAGAUAUUGAAUUUCAUAACUGAAAUCCCCCAGGAGGCCAGGGAGAAAGCAAGCAAGGAGGAGCAUGAAUCCAUAGCCCAAUGACGAGAGCAGUUGCCUGGAAAGAGGAAGUCCCAGGUUCUGGUCUGCUUUGAGGAUUGCUUAUGGGUUCAUCUAAUGAGUCUAUAAUGCAAAGAGCACAUCGAACCAACAUCUCCGACCAAUCUGGGUUGCGGGUGUCAGUAUUUAUGAGACCAGUAUUCGAUGAAACGAAAUGACUGUGUUCAUCUAAUGCUGGAGAAGAUCCUGAUGGAUUCAGGAGCCUACUUCAAGUCUCCUUGAGAUGCUCUGUUGAUCUCCAUCUGAGAAGGAUCAGACAUGGGCCUUGCAGUAAUUGCAUAACACCUAUUGUCUUUAUCAUGAUGAGGGACUGAACCCCAAACUUUUACAAUUAAGAACAUAAGGCUCUACCUCUUGAGCUAAAGAACGGUUACCCCCUGUCUGCAAGCUAUAGUGUAACCGUAUCCUCUGUGGAUGAAGCACAGAGGUUGAUGUGAAGCACACAUUGGGGAGUGGAUUACAGCUACGUAUGCACGAGGUGCACAUGAUACAUGGAAAACUUUUCUCUAGGAUAGUGGUCUCCAACCUUUUUAAGCACAAGAUCAUUUUUUGAAUUAACGUGCAACCCAGGAUCUACCUCAAAGAAAACGUAGAAAUAACAGUUUAUAUUUAUAUUUAUGCUAUAUAAGGCUGAGAUCAAGUGCUUAAUAUACAUAAUUAUACAUUUUCCCUACUUACCAAGUCUUAGUGUGACACUGUGACAACUGGAGCCUAGGCGGCUCGUUCAGAGAUGUGGGGGGCUCCCACCACUGUGCUCAUGCCAGAGGAGGCCCCAGGGGCAUGUUCCCCCUGAUCUGUGCAUGGGGUGGAGGUGGUUGCUGCUGCGUGCUGGGCUUUGCACCCUGCUGCAGCUGCCCCAGUGCCUGCCAUCACUGGGCUGCACCGUGACCCCUGCUCGCCUGGCAGCUGGACCACGUGGAGUCGCGCAGGUCUGGAGGCAGUGGCAGCUGCACCUGGGUGCAAAGUGCACCGCACAGUGGCAGCUGCCUCCACCCCGUGCACAGAUUGGGGGGCAUAUGUGCACCCCCUGGGACCUCUGCUGGGGUGUGCACCGUGGUGGGAGUCACCCUGCACCCCUGGACGAGCCACCCGGGCUCCAAUUGUCCCACCACCCGGCCUGGCUCCAAUCACCCCAGCCCCUGCUCCUGCCCUGCUCCCUCCCUCACCAUAUGGCCUCAAUCUGCCCCCCCAUCUCUUUCCCCUCACCCCCUUCCCCAAAGACUUACCUGCUGGGAGGGGACUGGGGGCAGAGCAUGUGCGUGCACAUAUGCACACAUGCUCAGCCCCUCCAAAUAAUUUUUUCUCCCUCUGCCUAUGGAUACGGGGGACUGAGACUGAGAUGGACUGUCAGAGGCUCCACGAUUGACCAGUUGAUCGCGAUCCACUGAUUGGUGACUACUGCUGUAGGAGAUGGUUCAAGGAUUAAAGCCAUGCAGAGAGCUGGGGUUGGUAACAGUGGAAAGUCCCCAGAAGCAGGACAACAUUGUCAGAGACUUAAGAGGGUGAAACUCAGAAGAAGGACCCCUGGAGACAGAGGAGCCUUGGGCAGGAGAGAAGUGACUGGUUGCCCACUUCUUUGAGGAUGUAACUCCCUGCUUAGGACCUGUUUAGGACCUUUGGGCUCCAAGGAUGGUCUAAACCCAUUCAAUACCUUCUCAAAGAAGAGACGUACAACUCUCUGCCUCUACUCCCCUCCCUUCUUCCUUCCCUCCCAUUCCUCUUCUGUAACCCAGAGUCUUCUGUAUAAAUGCUGCUUCCUGCUAAGUAUAUGCUUGCUCAACUUUAAAGGGGUCAUAGCACCAAAAUUAGAUUGCUCCAGGGGGUGCUGAAAUCUUCUCAGUGCUGUUUAUUGCACUGUAAGUCUCCUCUAAUUGCAGACGGGUGAGAUUUCAGCUGAUGAGCACUGACUGAAAAGUGUGGCUAAAGAAUGCUGUUUUCUCAGGGGUGGAUCAACAGGGGGUCAGGGAAAGACAAUCCAGUGUCUCUCUCUUCCUUGGCCCAAUUUUUCAUGGGGAACAUCUACUUUUUAUGAUUGCUGACUCAGAAAUAAGGAAGUGGUGACUGGAUCUGAACUUUCCCAAAAUGUUUCUUGGAUCCAGGAUUCUGGAUUCAGGAUUCCAUUGUCACUUUUGGUUUAUCCGUGCUAUGCAUUUCCUUAGGGCAGAGGUAGGCAAGCCCCGGCACGGGUGCCAGAAUGUGGCAUAUGAAGGCAUUUUGCUUGGCACGUGUGCCUUGGGGUGGAUGGUAGGGAAAGGACCGGGGCUGCGUGGCCACAACAAGAAUCAGGUCCCUUGCAGCUCCUCCACCAUCUGCCCUGGCACAUCAGCAUCUUACAAAUCGAGGUUGUGGGUGUUUUUGACAUUCUGCCCCAAAACGUUGCCUACCCCUGACUUUGGGCAUGAGGCAGGGCCAGUAGUAAGCUACGACAAAGGGUACAGAAGUACCAUGUGAGAGGGUCCUAGAAGAGCUACCCCUACUGUACUUUUGCCCAGCUGUGUAUGUUCUAAUAGAUUUACAUUUUCCCCUGAAGCACCCAACGUUUAUGACUUUCAGAGCCACCCAGGGGACCAGGGGCCUGUUCCAACCUGACAAACCCUAUCAGUGUCUCAUUUCUACUUACUUACAUACUGAGAAGCCAUCCUCACUGCGUGGGGGAAUCGAGGACCUGGGUUCCUUGCUUCAUGCUUGGCAGUUCUGCCUUAUGGUAGGAACGAGAGUGACUUUUCUAUUUUUACAGGUAAAACACCCAAUACAUUUCUGCUUGGAAUGGCUAAAAACAUUGCCCACUUAUAUAGCGUGUCUAAAUUGCCCAGGCUUACCUUAAAUCAAAUCCUCCAUUCUCUUUAAACCAAGUCCUCCUGUUACGAUAAUUAUCUGUGAAGCUUGCUGUCCAGAAUCUGGCCUAGGAGAAAUCCACCCCAUACCAAAUCGUGUACAGACGUCCUUCAGUGGCAAAGCCAGCCCUUUCUCAACUCUACACACAGUUGCAAAGAAGUUGCUUUGUUAUAUUUUAUGAGAAUUCCCAGCUCUUGAGAUGACAUUUCCAGUGGUAUUAACACUCCUGGAAACUGAAGCUAAUCAAAUUAUCAGAAUCUUAACCAUAUAACAUAAUGGCUUCUCUUGGGUAAAGACAUUUGCAGUAUCAAAUGCCACAGGUGCAUAAAUAAAGUAUUAUCAGAAAUAUGUUGAGGGCUGGCCGUGGGAGCUGAGGGUGUGUGUGUGUGUGUGUGUGUGUGUGUGUGUGUGCGCGUGCACGCGUGUGCGUAUAUUUAAAAGAGAUUUGCUCUCAGAAUUGUUCACUAAAUACUUGCUGAAAACUGUCCUGAUUUGAAUCCUGCCUGUACUCAUAUAGUCACUGCACUGUAGCAUGUUUGGGGGACUCGUAAAGAAUUAAUAACCCAACAGUCCAUAGAGUUACAUCGGUGUAAUAGUAGGUGCUAAGUGAGAUGAGAAUCUGGCCCAACUUGCUGAAUUUCUUGCUGUCUUGCAGCACACAUGGUAGUCUUAUUUGACCUUAUAGAAGUCUAUUUGAGGGAAUUUCUCUGUAAAUAUUUAAUCUAAAAUCCCAUGUUGAUUCAACACUCUACCCAUUUUUGAGCAUAAGCCAAUCAGUUUUCUUCCUUCUGUUUUCAGAGUCCAGAUACUCUAACUUGGCGGAUUUUUGAGAGGGUUCCCAAGUAGUCAUUUGGUCUCUGUUCAAAAUACUUGUCUACUGUGCUAUGUAACAGAGCAGCUUCCAGACAUAUAGUCUAGUCCAGCGGCUUCCUUGGCCCAACAGAAGUCCCUCAUUUUUUUUUUUCUUUCCGUUUUCAUUGUUAUUUCUGCGUUUUAUUAUUAUUACAACAUUGCUAGGCUGAGAAACCUGGAGAAGACACAGGAAAUCGUGAAUUAUUGCUUAUGUCGUAAUAUGGAAUAGUGGAGAACUGCAGCAAUCAUGGAGUGAAUAAAGACCGUGCUGAUUGGAACAGGAUGAAAAUUCUCCGCUGGAUUCAAGUAUUGCAUGGAGAUGGAGGAUGGCAAAGAUCCUGAUACAAACCUGGACUUCACAACGCUGUCAGAAGAAAGCUCAGUCAAAUAGUGAUUGACAGAGAAAUAAGAACAGGAGGUUUUAAAGAACGAAAUCCUGGGCUCUCUACAGCAGUGUGAGAUGACGAUUCCCGACUUUGGGAAUCCAGAGUGCUAACUCCUGAAGGGGAUCAAACAUCGAGCAUUUGUGACCUCCCACCAGCUUCAGCAGCCCAGUGUCUGAACAGGAAAGUGGAACGCACAACCGUCGGAAAACGAGACAGAUCAGAUUAAUUUCAUUGCUUGUGAUGAGUAAAAGGUUGAAAGAAACCCCUCCCCCCCCCCAAAGACCCCCAAACCUCCAAACCAGUCAACAGAUAAUUUUACCUGGUAGUAUUUUUAUUUUUUUUCAUUAGGUUUUUAGAUGGCCUGCAAAAUUUCAGGCUGAUUGAUUUCCUGAGGCAAAAACAGACAAACAAACCCCAAAAAUAAUCACACAAAUCAGGUAAUUGGCUAAUCUGCUAUUUGUUUGAAUGCUGAAUUGCUCAACUGAGCUUUUAAAUGUGCUUGUUAGUGCAAGUAAAUGGAUGUACUCCCAAUAUCUGCAGAUGUUUGUAUGAAUUUAAAUGUUGCCUCUUUUGUUGGUUAUCAGCGUGUUAUUAAUAGCACUGGUAAGUAAUUAAAUAUUGAUAUAUAUCAUUUUUAUUUUGACACUGCCCUUUGAAAUGCUAAGUGAUUGUUGAGGUUAAACAACUGUACGGCAGAAACUGUAUCUAUUAUGCACGUGUCAGAUCUCAACAGAAGUGCUUUUAAUAACAGUUUGUUAUUUGAUUCACAAAGAAUUGCAAAUAGAUGAAGUUUCUAGAAACGAGUCCUUAUUUUUAUGGUUCCUGAUCAUUUUAAUAUAUCUGACAGUGCUGCAAUAAAGAUGUCCGUUAGCUACGUGCAGAAGAGCUCAAGCACCUGAAAACAAAGCAAGACUCUUCAUCUUAGAUUUAAAAAGGAAGCAUCAGGAAGAUCCCUGGACAUCAGUGAAUGGGAAGUUAUUUGUAUUUAAAGGACAGGGCCGUACAUUACUAGAGCUUUUUUAGAUCUCUACACUCUUUACAAACCUUUGCGACUGGAAUGACCUCUAACAUCUUGUAAUCAGGUUUAUUCAGGGGUGGAACACGGCAGCUGUUUAGCGAUACACGCUUCUAUUACAGGUUAGGAAAGGAUGGGAAGAAGACUUCUGUACCCACCUGAAAUUGCAGGGGAAUGUCAUUGUGACAGGUGGAGUGUAAUUACCUUGCUUGGAGCUAGGCCAGGACAAAUUGCAAGGAAGGUGAAGUUUGCUGCAUGUGCUCCUUCUGGAUGUUGGAGAGACCAGCAUGACAGUUGUGAAACUCCUGGCAGUGCUUUAGAAGUGCAAAAAAUUAUCGGAUGUUAAAUAAAACAUCAGGCAAUUGUUGGGAAACAUGCCUUUAUUAAGAUAUAACAGUCAAUUGCAUAGUUGUUAAAAGAGCUAUAACUAUGUAUUAAAUAAUCAGUUCAGCUGGUAUUUAUUUAAUAUAAUCGCAGCCUAUUAAACUGAAUUAAGUACAGUGUUAAGCAUUGCUGGGACAGACAGUUAAAAAUGUUGCCAGGAAUGUCUUACGUUGCCUCAAACCUUUUGUCAAAAACUUUCACAGAAAAUCUCUGAAAAAUUGUCCCUCAUUUAAUGAGGGAAGCACCAUCUGGUUCAGGUCAAGUAAAAAAAAAAAGCAGCUUCACCCUAACCCAAAGCUCAACCCAAAGUACACCAUUUUUUUUUAAUCCAAAAAUGUGUCUCACUAUUUGAAAACAUUCCUUUUUAAGAAUUUUGUGUAAUAUUUUUUAACCCUUUAUACUUCCCCAGAUCUCUGUUGCCUUGCAAUCUGUGCAGUCAUUUUUACCA